Molecule: non-coding RNA, 128 nt
Filed under: Otolemur garnettii (small-eared galago)
Lineage: Eukaryota; Metazoa; Chordata; Mammalia; Primates; Galagidae
Source: RNAcentral
UGUGCUACCCUGUCCACGCCUCGCCUCGGCAGCCAGGGCAGGGCCGCCGUCGAAGAGCCCCAAUACACGGUCCCCAUCUCAGCAUGAUGGACUUGGAGCUGCCGCCGCCGGGACUGCCGUCCCAGCAG